RNAcentral lists this ribosomal RNA (496 nucleotides) under uncultured bacterium. RNAcentral's name for it is "partial 16S ribosomal RNA". It matches the Rfam family "Bacterial small subunit ribosomal RNA", at positions 28 to 506 of the family's 1533-position model. The record is from RNAcentral.
GAUGAACGCUGGCGGCGUGCCUAAUACAUGCAAGUCGAGCGAACAGAUGAGGAGCUUGCUCCUCUGACGUUAGCGGCGGACGGGUGAGUAACACGUGGAUAACCUACCUAUAAGACUGGGAUAACUUCGGGAAACCGGAGCUAAUACCGGAUAAUAUAUUGAACCGCAUGGUUCAAUAGUGAAAGACGGUUUUGCUGUCACUUAUAGAUGGAUCCGCGCCGCAUUAGCUAGUUGGUAAGGUAACGGCUUACCAAGGCAACGAUGCGUAGCCGACCUGAGAGGGUGAUCGGCCACACUGGAACUGAGACACGGUCCAGACUCCUACGGGAGGCAGCAGUAGGGAAUCUUCCGCAAUGGGCGAAAGCCUGACGGAGCAACGCCGCGUGAGUGAUGAAGGUCUUCGGAUCGUAAAACUCUGUUAUUAGGGAAGAACAAAUGUGUAAGUAACGAUGCACGUCUUGACGGUACCUAAUCAGAAAGCAACGGCUAACUACGU